GCAGCCGCGGUAAUACGUAGGGUGCAAGCGUUAAUCGGAAUUACUGGGCGUAAAGCGUGCGCAGGCGGUUCGGAAAGAAAGGUGCGAAAUCCCAGGGCUUAACCUUGGAACUGCACUUUUAACUACCGAGCUAGAGUAUGUCAGAGGGGGGUGGAAUUCCGCGUGUAGCAGUGAAACGCGUAGAUAUGCGGAGGAACACCGAUGGCGAAGGCAGCCCCCUGGGAUAAUACUGACGCUCAUGCACGAAAGCGUGGGGAGCAAACAGGAUUAGAUACCCUGGUAGUCCACGCCCUAAACGAUGUCAACUAGCUGUUGGGGCCUUCGGGCCUUAGUAGCGCAGCUAACGCGUGAAGUUGACCGCCUGGGGAGUACGGCCGCAAGAUUAAAACUUCAAAGGAAUUGACGGGGACCCCGCACAAGCGGUGGAUGAUGUGGAUUUAAUUUCGAUGCAACGCGAAAAAACCUUUACCUACCCUUGACAUGUCCGGAAUCCUGAAGAGAUUUGGGAGUGCUCGCAAGAAGAACCGGAACACCAGGUGCUGCAUGGCUUGUCGUCAGCUCGUGUCGUGAGAUGUUGGGUUAAGUCCCGCAACGAGCGCAACCCUUAUCCAAUGUUGCCAGCAAGUUAUGUUGGGACUCAUUGGAGACUGCCGGGUUAACUCGAGAAGGUGGGAUGACUCAAGUCCUCAUGCCCCUUAUGUCUAGGGCUGCAACACGCUACAUGGCCGAU
This 730-nucleotide ribosomal RNA is filed under the name uncultured beta proteobacterium. RNAcentral's name for it is "bacterial SSU rRNA". It matches the Rfam family "Bacterial small subunit ribosomal RNA", at positions 511 to 1238 of the family's 1533-position model. Lineage: Bacteria; Pseudomonadati; Pseudomonadota; Betaproteobacteria. The record is from RNAcentral.